RNA transcript from Lepisosteus oculatus (spotted gar), 5044 nucleotides. It is a transcript of the gene named adhesion G protein-coupled receptor D2, with no coding region annotated. NCBI's taxonomy places the organism in Eukaryota, Metazoa, Chordata, Actinopteri, Semionotiformes, Lepisosteidae. The record is from RefSeq and is a predicted model, not a curated record.
CUCCUCCUAUACAACACAGGUCUUUAACAUGCAGAGCUCUAUUUCUUUGGCUUCUCUAGUUAUGUCUGGAGGGAUGAGCAAAAAUUGGUUUUAAGUUCCCAAAAUGCAAAGGAAAUAUAUUUAAAAAAGCUGUGAGUCAUCCGGGGGCUUACCAUGAUUGGAGACAGAGGCAAAUCGUCAUUUUUGGUGUAUUUUGUUUUGGUCUCCAGCAUUACUGGGAAAAUACGCUCCUGGGAAUGUGAAAAUUGGAGGAACUCUCAAGUUUUCGGUUCCUCUGAGUGCUUCUACGAGACGCCUGAAGAUGUUUUCCAGUUUGUAAAUAUUUCAAUGGACUUUUGGCAAGCAAACGGAUUCUGUCAGCAUCACUUCAGCAAGCUCCUUUCUGAUGAAAUGGACAGUGAUGUGGAAUACACAUCGAAACUUCUUCAGGCUGCCCAAAUGAAACAUCCUAUCUGGAUCGUGGAUGUGUACCAUUACAACUGGAGAUUCCCACCCUUCUUGGGAAAGUAUGUUUCAAUACCAGCCUUGAAUUUCAAGGAGGAGUCCCAUGCCAUGUACGCCAGAGUGGACAUUGAGUUUCCCCCAUUGCCAGCGGUCACUGUGUGCGCCCGGGUGCAGUGGCACAGUGCCAACAGCCAGGUGUCCACUGUCUUCUCUUACGCAGCUCUUCAGCUAACCAAUGAGUUUCAGCUGCGGGGUCAGCAGGACAAGGAUGGAAACAUAAUCCUGGCCUUGAUUGUGCACGGAAACCACAAGCCUUACAAGGCCUCCUUUAGAAACGACGGGAAAUGGCACCAUCUUUGUGUUACCUGGCAAAAGUACAAUGGAAAUUGGGCUAUCCAUGUGGAUGGGAAAAGGCGAGACUCGGGGAAUGGGACUGAGACCUCCCGAAAUAUUUAUGGAAGUGGGAUUUUCAUCAUUGGGCAUGAUCAAGACUCCUUCGGAGGAAACUUUACAGAGCCCUUUGUUGGGAAUAUCACAGCCUUAGGUAUAUGGAAUAAAACGUUGGACGAGCAUCAGAUCAAUGAUCUCAGCGUCUGUUCGCACAUUUCGGGAGACCUCAUGUUCAUGUGGAAUUUGAGCCAGAUGACCGUCAAGCCGGCUCCUCAGCUGUCCCUGACCAAGCUCUGGUGUGAACAUCCCAAGCAAAUACCUUCAGAAGAGUGCAGAACGAUCUCAGUGGACCCCUCCCAGCAACUGUCUCUUUACAAAUAUGUCCCCUGCCAACGGACUCUGCCCUUCGUGUGCAAGCACAAUAAAGAUAGUUUUUUGAAGAUGAAGGAAAUCGAAGAAGCUCUCGAAGGCAAACCAAGUCACUUCAUGCAUUGUUUAACCCAGCUAUCCAAUGAUACUAAUAUAAAAGAAUCCAUCUUCCCGAGCAUCCCUAAGGACCUGAGCGUUCCGGAGGUGCACGAUAUCUUGAAGUUCUCACAACAGGCUCUGGUGGAUGUCGGCACUCCGCUCGAGCCUGCCGACAUGGUGAGCCUAGUGCAGUUCCUUUCCCAGGCGGCAGCCGUGAAAAUCAGAGGCAACGAGAGUCACGAUGCCAUUAGGAACAUGAGCAGUUUCUUCAUCACUGUGGCUGACACGAUGUUCAGGGAAGAGAACAUCAACAAGUGGAUGGCUGUGAAGGAGAUCGUAAAUGGGCCCAUGACUGUGGUUCACAGCAUUGACAGGAUGGUGGCCAAUCUCAACCCGCUGCUAAUGGCUAAGAAAAGCAGGAUUGUCUUUGACAGCACCAACAUCAAACUUGAAGUACGACAGAAAGGUCUUGGCUCUGGCGCCGAUGGCUCAGACUUCCAUGGGCCGACACCUGAAAAUGAAACAAAAGUUGAUUUUAUUACAGUCCCAGAAGACAAGAUCCAGCAGCUCUAUCAGCAUGGAAUUCAGAAUAUUACAUUAAUAAAUACAUGGUAUGGCUCUCUGCUUCCUUUAUUUGGAAUUGAGGAUAACAUCACACAGUUUUCUACUGUGACUGAUGGAAGCCAAAAACAUGUGGGCACAGUGCUGGGGUCAUCUGUAAUAUCAGCUACAGUUCUUGGUGAUAACCGACCAGUAAACACAGCUGUGAACUAUGAACUUCGGCACAGAUUAGAGAACCUUCAUGGAGCAGAAUAUGAACCAAUUUGUGCCUUUUGGGAUUUUCACCUCAAGCCAGAGAAAGGAGGCAGCUGGUCUACAGAGGGCUGUUUUAUCACAUCCUUGGGAUAUGAAUCCACAACCUGUUUCUGCAACCACACAACCAACUUUGCCUUGCUGCUGCAGAUUUACGAAGUGCAGAGAACUCCACAAGAUGAGAAUGCUCUCCGGAUAUUGACCUUCGUGGGGUGUGGAGUGUCUUUAUGUGGCUUAACUAUGACAUUUAUUCUUUUCAUUGCAGUAGGCGUUCCUAAUUCGGAUAGAACAACAGUUCACAAGAAUCUGAUUUUUGCUUUGGGAGUUGCACAACUAUUACUGAUGUUCAGUGAUCUGGCCAGUACCAACAAGGGGCUGUGCACUGCCGUGACAGCUUUGCUGCAUCUCUUUUUCCUGGGAUCGUUCUCCUGGAUGCUGGUGGAAGGCCUGCUGCUCUGGAGCAAGGUCGUCUCCGUGAACAUCAGCGAGGACCGGAGGAUGAAGCUGUACUACGCUAUCGGCUGGGGUUUGCCAGUUGUUAUUGUUGGUAUCACCUUGGCAACUUCUUUUAACAAGUAUGUGGCGGACAAUUAUUGCUGGCUGAACGCUCAGACUGAUGUUAUUUGGGCUUUUGUUGGCCCUGUUAUCUUUGUCCUCUCUGUGAACACCGUUGUUCUGUUCCGGGUUGUGAUGGUGACGGUCGCCAGCGCGCGGAGGCGGUCCAAAAUGCUGACACCGAGCACGGCCUCACAGAUCCAUGCCCUGGAUCUCACUUGGACUGCCACCAAGCCAGUGAUUAUACUUCUGCCAGUGCUGGGCCUGACCUGGCUCUGUGGGAUUCUGGUUCAUCUCUCAGUGAUUCUUGCCUAUAUUUUCAUCGCAAUGAAUGCCUUUCAGGGUCUGUACAUAUUCCUGGUAUAUGCAGUGUAUAACAGUGAGGUGAGAAAUGCCAUAAGAAGAAUGAAGGAAAAGAAAAAGGCACUCUCUUUUACAAAUUGCUCCCAGCCAAUAAGUUUCCUAACUUCCCAGAGGGCCACAGGCUCUUGGGAUAAUUCAAAACCUCAUCCUUCAGCUUCUGAGAACAGCGAGUCUUCGGCAGGUCAGACGGGUUCCACAAAGAAAUCUCUUGUCAUUCAAAAUGAGAGUUUUGGAAAAGAUAGCUUUGUGAGCUUUUCCCUGAAACCAGCAUCAGGGAAUCAGAAACACCUGGUUGUCGUGGGAAACAAAACGCAGGGCGUUGCAGUAUUGGCUCGUGCAAGUCCAGAGCCAGGUGGAAAGCAAGGAUAGUAUCUCCCUGCCUGCCCAGCCUGAGUGUUUUUCUAAAUGAAAAGGGAGUUCAGCUGACAGCCUUCAAACCAUCAGGUUGCUGAAGUCUAACUCACCCUGUCGAGAGAGACAGAGACAUGGGCAUUGCAGCAAGGUGCUGGAAAACUGCUCGAAGAUCUUUACAACCUCAAAGGAGUGACAAAUCCACAUUACUGGCUGCAAUCAGUGGACAAUUUAGAAUGCAGCUUGAUGACUGGAUUAUGAAAAACAGAAUCCAAACCUGUCUUUUCCAGGAUCAAUAUUGUUCUUGUAAUCCCUACAGUCAUAUUAACCCAUAAACAGAAAUAGCCAAUGCAGUUGUUGCUGACAUUGAUAAUAUUUUCUGCAAGUCGUGAGUUUGCUGAAGUGAGAACUAAUCAUUGCAUUAAAUGAGCCCUAGAUGUGCCAAAACUGGAAAAAAAAUUAAAUGUCAGGUAUGCACAAAUGAUGAGUAGACCAGCUUUCAGAAUAUUUACAUGUAUAAUAUUAUGUGUUUUAAAAUUCUGUUAAUUUCUUCUUAACACAUAAGUAUUUUAUGAGCCUUGUGCUUGGGGGAAAUAUCUAAGUGUUAUACAAGUGAGCAGAUAAAUAAAGAAGAAUGUUCUAUACUAAUAUACUUUCCAUUCAAAUCUUCUGGUGAUAAGCAUGUAAAGAUGUAUCUGUACGUCUUCUCUACUGGAAUGGCUAAUUAAAAUGAUACCUUCAAGGUGAGGCAACAAAACAACCCUGAUCUACCACGCUUUUGUAAGUAAAACAUCCAUUGAGAAGUUUCAUAAUUGGAAAAAGUCAUAAAUAAAUGCCAUGGCAUUUAUUUCUUAUCAAGCAUGACUUUAAACACAUUGAGCCUUUUAUAUGAUUUUCAUAAUCUCUCAUAAGGCUCAAUCAAGAUACAAUUAGAUAAGACUACAGGUAAGUUACAGUUAUGUUAUAGCUACCAUAACAUUUCAAAAUCCUAUGAAAGACCAAUAGGUCAUAAAAAUGAAUCGAAAGUUAGAUACAGUAUGUUCUCUUACUCCAGGUUACUGAAUAAUAAUGAUUACCACCUGGCAAAAACCAUCUACAGUAUGUGCUGUUGAUUUUACUAUACAUUAAAUAGGACUCAUACUUCACAAAGUUUCAAUAUUGUUUUUAGUUCAAAUCUUCAUCUUCCAAUAUUACCACAGAUCUUUUUUGAUAACAGUAGUCUCAUUGACUUUUAUUUAAAAACUUGUAAGUUUUGUGAUUCAACUCUAACAAGCAAAUCAGUAGACAAUGAGAGCUGAUUAAAACAUUCCUGAGAUUUUUUUGCAUGUUUUAAUUGGACAAAAGGCUGGAUGCAUUUGCACAUACCUUGGAUUAGUGGAUUAAUUCUCUGAUGUAAUUUCACUUGUUCAAAACCAAUAGGCCUUUGCUAAAGUUAUAUGCAAAAUGUUACCUUGUAGCACAUUAGAAAAAAACAUGUUUUUGUUUUGGACAACAUUUAUGUCAACAACCUGGAAUGCAUUGUUGCUGAAAUGUGAGGGAGUUUCUCAGAUUUAAUGUAAAAGUUGGAGGUAAAUGUUUCAUACAAUUUCCUGAUAACUUUCCCCUGGUUUGGAAGAAAUAAGUGUUUGGGGUGUGUGCUGUAAUAAACCAUAUAAACCAA